This 1346-nucleotide long non-coding RNA is filed under the name Astyanax mexicanus (Mexican tetra). Its description in RNAcentral is "lncRNA (ENSAMXG00005012936.1)". Lineage: Eukaryota; Metazoa; Chordata; Actinopteri; Characiformes; Acestrorhamphidae. The record is from RNAcentral.
GCCAUGCUCAGGGAAUCAUAUGGAACAGUGCCUGAGGGGGAGCAAAUGAGAGAUUGAGUUUCAGCCUGAUGAUGCCACUUAGCCAUUAACUAUCUCCAGCAAAACUCCACCAACCCCCCCUUUACCGCCCUCCCUGUAUCUACCAUUCAUAUCCGACAACCCCUCCCCGUUCCUCCCUCUGUUUUCCCACCCUCUAUCUCUCUCUCCCUCCACCUCCCUCUCUCUCCCUCUGCCUCUCUCCCUCUCUCUCUCUCUCUCUCUUUCACUGUCUGUGACAUCCUCGCUCGCUCACUCAUGCACAGACACAGCCCUCUGAGAGAGAAUGGAUGAGUGAGUGCAAGGGCAGGAAGCAAAGCACUGACCAGUGAGUGAGUGAGAGAGAGAGAGAGAGAGAGAGGGGGGGAGAGAAAGAGAGAGACGGGCGUGCAAGUGAGACUAUCCAGUGCUCACACUUCCAGCUCAUACUAAGACUAGACAAACCACAGAUCAGAUGCUCUCCAGCUCUCUAUGUGGAAGUGCUCCUGAGCCUUGCUCUACUUUCCACUCACUCUCUUCACUCUGGGACCUUUUCUUUUGCUUUGGGAUAUUUUGCAUGACACGCUGCCCUCUUCUCUGAGAGAAUCCUCACUGGAGUGCUUCUUGUGUCUCUUCUUCUCUGGCUCUCGCUCGCGCUCCUUGGGGAAUGAAUGAUUGAGCUCUGAGAAAGGAGGAUAGAGCCAGCACGCGUGGGACUCUGCGAAACAACAGAGAAACCAAGCGACUGAAGGGACAAAGCUGACCAAAGUGGCACAAGUGAGGCAAAAGACUUAAAACUUCAACAAACUACUUUUUCUAAGUGUCGCAAUGGAUCUCCCUCCAUUCCGAGGUUUAUCUGAUGUACCCUGAUAGGUGCGAGCCUUGUAUGCAAGUCUUUCCCUUGGUGGCCCGAGUGACGUUAUGGAUCUGACACCUCCUCCUCUCAGGAUGGACCGUGAUGGCUUGGACCUCCAGCAGGUCUCUGUGCUGUCCAUAGACCAGAUCCGCUCUAUACGGGCCAGCAAUGACUAUGUAGAUCGCCCGGUGGCACUAGAGCCUGCCACUCAGAGCCACAUCCACCAUGCAGCCCUCACUUCCUGAUGCUCCAGCCAUCCAGGAAAGCGGCGCCCGCUGCCAAGCAGGAAGAGCGUCAGUGGCCGAAAAAGCCACCGAGAGGAAGUUGGAAAGAACAUGUUUGAUGUCAGCGCCAGCGUAUUUUUGGGGCCGGCGAUGAACAAAAGGGCCGGUAUAUUUAGCGGCGGUCAGGAAGCAGGCCGAGAGCAGGGCUGGGGGGUUCAGCAGAGGCCUCGGCGACUUUCCCACACUCCCCG